RNAcentral lists this ribosomal RNA (457 nucleotides) under uncultured Sphingobacteriales bacterium. Its description in RNAcentral is "bacterial SSU rRNA". It matches the Rfam family "Bacterial small subunit ribosomal RNA", at positions 923 to 1382 of the family's 1533-position model. The record is from RNAcentral. Lineage: Bacteria; Pseudomonadati; Bacteroidota; Sphingobacteriia; Sphingobacteriales.
GCACAAGCGGAGGAACAUGUGGUUAAUUCGAUGAUACGCGAGGAACCUUACCUGGGCUUAAAUGUAGAGUGCAUUUUUAGAGAUAGAAAUUCCCUUCGGGGCUUUCUGCAAGGUGCUGCAUGGUUGUCGUCAGCUCGUGCCGUGAGGUGUCGGGUUAAGUCCCAUAACGAGCGCAACCCUUAUCGUUAGUUGCCAUCUGGUAAUGCAGGGGACUCUAGCGAAACUGCCACCGUAAGGUGAGAGGAAGGUGGGGAUGACGUCAAAUCAGCACGGCCCUUAUGUCCAGGGCUACACACGUGUUACAAUGGUCGGUACAGAGGGCAGCUACCUGGUGACAGGAUGCUAAUCUCGAAAACCGGUCUCAGUUCGGAUCGAAGUCUGCAACUCGACUUCGUGAAGCUGGAUUCGCUAGUAAUCGCGCAUCAGCUAUGGCGCGGUGAAUACGUUCCCGGGCCUU